UACGAGGGGAGCUAGCGUUGUUCGGAAUCACUGGGCGUAAAGCGCACGUAGGCGGAUGUGUCAGUCAGGGGUGAAAUCCCGGAGCUCAACUUCGGAACUGCCUUUGAUACAGCACAUCUGGAGUCCGGAAGAGGUGGGUGGAAUUCCUAGUGUAGAGGUGAAAUUCGUAGAUAUUAGGAAGAACACCGGUGGCGAAGGCGGCCCACUGGUCCGGUACUGACGCUGAGGUGCGAAAGCGUGGGGAGCAAACAG
RNAcentral lists this ribosomal RNA (252 nucleotides) under uncultured bacterium. RNAcentral's name for it is "partial 16S ribosomal RNA". It matches the Rfam family "Bacterial small subunit ribosomal RNA", at positions 524 to 775 of the family's 1533-position model. The record is from RNAcentral.